GACGAACGCUGGCGGCGUGCUUAACACAUGCAAGUCGAACGGCAAGGCCCUGCUUUUGUGGGGUGCUCGAGUGGCGAACGGGUGAGUAACACGUGAGUAACCUGCCCUUGACUUUGGGAUAACUUCAGGAAACUGGGGCUAAUACCGGAUAGGAGCUCCUGCUGCAUGGUGGGGGUUGGAAAGUUUCGGCGGUUGGGGAUGGACUCGCGGCUUAUCAGCUUGUUGGUGGGGUAGUGGCUUACCAAGGCUUUGACGGGUAGCCGGCCUGAGAGGGUGACCGGCCACAUUGGGACUGAGAUACGGCCCAGACUCCUACGGUAGGCAGCAGUGGGGAACAUUGCACAAUGGGCGGAAGCCUGAUGCAGCAACGCCGCGUGCGGGAUGACGGCCUUCGGGUAGUAAACCGCUGUCGCCUGUGACGAAGCGUGAGUGACGGUAAUGGGUAAAGAAGCACCGGCUAACUACGUG
This 468-nucleotide ribosomal RNA is filed under the name uncultured bacterium. Its description in RNAcentral is "partial 16S ribosomal RNA". It matches the Rfam family "Bacterial small subunit ribosomal RNA", at positions 28 to 507 of the family's 1533-position model. The record is from RNAcentral.